RNAcentral lists this ribosomal RNA (451 nucleotides) under uncultured bacterium. Its description in RNAcentral is "partial 16S ribosomal RNA". It matches the Rfam family "Bacterial small subunit ribosomal RNA", at positions 354 to 796 of the family's 1533-position model. The record is from RNAcentral.
GUGGGGAAUAUUGGACAAUGGGGGGAACCCUGAUCCAGCCAUGCCGCGUGUGUGAAGAAGGCCUUUUGGUUGUAAAGCACUUUAAGCGAGGAGGAGGCUACCGAGAUUAAUACUCUUGGAUAGUGGACGUUACUCGCAGAAUAAGCACCGGCUAACUCUGUGCCAGCAGCCGCGGUAAUACAGAGGGUGCAAGCGUUAAUCGGAUUUACUGGGCGUAAAGGGCGCGUAGGUGGCCAAUUAAGUCAAAUGUGAAAUCCCCGAGCUUAACUUGGGAAUUGCAUGCGAUACUGGUUGGCUAGAGUAUGGGAGAGGAUGGUAGAAUUCCAGGUGUAGCGGUGAAAUGCGUAGAGAUCUGGAGGAAUACCGAUGGCGAAGGCAGCCAUCUGGCCUAAUACUGACACUGAGGUGCGAAAGCAUGGGGAGCAAACAGGAUUAGAUACCCUGGUAGUCC